UUAACGGCCGCGGUAUCCUGACCGUGCGAAGGUAGCGUAAUCAUUUGUCUUUUAAAUAGAGACCUGUAUGAAUGGCAUAACGAGGGUUUAACUGUCUCCUUCCCCUAGUCAAUGAAAUUGAUCUGCCCGUGCAGAAGCGGACAUAAACACAUAAGACGAGAAGACCCUAUGGAGCUUUAGACAAAAGAUCAAACAUGUAAAGAAACCAAACCAACCAAAAGGAACACGAAGGCCACAAAACCCAACGU
This 248-nucleotide ribosomal RNA is filed under the name Anguilla anguilla (European eel). RNAcentral's name for it is "partial large subunit ribosomal RNA". It matches the Rfam family "Archaeal large subunit ribosomal RNA", at positions 2001 to 2247 of the family's 2987-position model. The record is from RNAcentral. Lineage: Eukaryota; Metazoa; Chordata; Actinopteri; Anguilliformes; Anguillidae.